AUCGAAAACCUGUUUUAUGAAUAUAUAUUUUUUACAUUUUUAAAUCUUGUUUUUAUAGCAUUUAGAUUCUGAUGAGCAUUCGUGCAUCUACUACAGUAGCUUUAUCUUUCGCUCUUCAAAUCGCUACAAAUUGAAAGCACCAUUCAUAACAUUAUAUCCACAGUUAGUAUUUUUACAGUGUAUUUAACUAAGAAGAAAAAAGUAAAUGAUUUUAGUGAAUUCGACACGUCAAAGGUUUGGCGAUGAUUCGACCAAGUUUUGCAUUUUGGUACUGUGUGUUUCUACUUGUCAUUACAUCUUCGGGAAAGAACGAAGAGUAUUGGAAAAAUUUCACGAAUGGCGAUGAACAAAGUGACAAUUCAACGAUGCCAUUCGAGCUUAACGAAAAUUCUAUGAAAAAUCAAGAUAAUGAGAUAGAAUUAAUGCAUCAUAAUUCGCACGAAAAUUCUGUGAAAAAUAAAAGUGAAACAAACUUUAUGUUGCAUGAACUUAAUGAACAUUCCAAUAAGGAUGACGAUGAUAAUAUCAUUCCGUAUAAAAUGUGUAACAAUACUUGCUUACAAUAUUGCUGCAGUAUGCUAAUAAACAAUUGCUAUGAAGUGAAGAGGCAAGAUUUUAUUAAAAACAAUCCUAAUUAUACGAUAGAAGCCAUAAUUGCUUAUUCAUGCAAAGAAAACGAGAUUCCGUUUGAUAUUAUGGAUAAUGAGAAUACAAUGUUUUUUGACAACAGCUUUCUGAAAUUAUCACGUCAUGAUAGACUAAUUUCGUUGUUAUCUAAGUGCACCGAUAUUUUAUCUAAUUCUGCUGACUCAACGAUCUGCGACGCCAUUUUGAACCAAAUGGUUUCGAUAUAUUUGGAUAUUAAGACUGCAGUUGUCAUAGCAUCUUUGCUGUGUCUUCUGAUGACAUUCAUCGUGUAUUCCAUAUGUCCAGAACUUCAAAAUAUGCACGGAUAUACUUUGCGUUCAUAUGUCGCGUCAUUGUUCGUCGUAUUCACGAUCAUGCUAAUCGUCCAUAAGAAAGAGACGUUUGAAGAGAUGUAUCCUGUCUGCGUUGCAGCAAGUUUACUAUUCUAUUUCUGUUUUUUUGCGAGCCUCUUCUGGCAAAAUGCGAUAUGCUUCGAUAUUUUACGGACAUUUGGAGGAGUUCGUUUUUUACACAAAAGCGUGAAGCAAUCAAAGAGAAAAAUUUUCCUCGCGUAUUCGUUCUGUGUAUGGGGAAUCGCCAGCAUUUACGUCAUCAUUUGUGCUAUAAUGAAUUUUGUUCCGACUGUGCCUGAUAAUAUCCAACCAAAUAUCUGCAUCACUACAUUCGGAUUCGCGCAACAUGCAGAUUUUGCAUAUUUUGAAAUACCCAUAAGUGUUCUUAUUAUCUGCAACAUAUGUUUCUUGAUUUUUACGAUGUUAAACAUCGUACGCGCAACAAAAAUUAUCGAUAGCUUUCUAAAAGACGCGGAGAACAAGCACCAAACUAAACAAAGAUCUAUGAUGUAUUUGAAGUUAUUGCUCUUUGCGGAUAUAAACUUGGGCCUACUAAGAAUAUUUAGAUGGACUAGCGAUAUGAUAAUAGCAAUGUUUGAUGUUGUGGAAUUUGUGCCAAAUUUCAUUCUGCUUAUCAUAGACAUAAUAGAAUUCCUGCAGGGCUUCGUCAUUUUCAUCAUAUUCGUUUGCAAGAAAAGAAUUUGGCAAUUACUGCUGAAACGAUUCGGUUGUGAAAAGUUAUUUGUAAAACGGAAAAGCGUCAGCAAGUAACAAUUGCCGUAUCGCGACUUUGCAUACUUCUUCUACAACAGUGACAGAGAUGUCCACGCACGAAGACAACAUGCAGGCUAAUUUGAAUUCGACGCGUCAAAGGUUUAGCGAUGCAUCGACCAAGUUUUGCAUUUUGGUACUGCGUGUUUCUGCCUGUCAUUCUAUCCUCGGAAAAGAACGAAGAGUAUUGGGAAAAUUACACGAAUGGUGAUGAACGGAGUGACAAUUCAACGAUGCCAUUCGAGCUUAACGCAAAUUCUAUGAAAAAUCAAGACAAUGAGACAAAGUUAAUCCAUUAUAAUUCGCACGAAAAUUCUGUGAAAAAUAAAAGUGAGACAAACUUUACGUUGCAUGGACUUAAUGAACAUUCCAUUGAGGAAGACGAUGAUAAUAUCGUUCUGUAUAAAAUGUGUAAUAAUACUUGCAUACAGCAUUGCUGUAAUUUGAUAUUUGACAAUUGCUUUGCAAAGAAGUUACGAGAAUUUGAGAACAACAAUUCUAAUUUUACGGAGGAAGCCGCAAUUGCUUAUAUAUGCGAAGAAACCAAGAUUCCGUUUGAUAUUAUGGAUAAUGAGAAUACGAUGUUUCCUGACAACAGCUCUCUAAACUUAUCACGUCACGAUAGAUUAAUUUCGUUAAUAAUUAAGUGCUCCAAUAUUUUAGAGUACUUUAACUCAACUACUACCUGCUACGCCAUUUUCGAUCAAAAGAUAUCGAUAUAUUUCGACAUUAAGACUGCAGUUAUCAUAGCAUCUUUGCUGUGUCUUCUGAUGACAUUCAUCGUGUAUUCCAUAUGUCCAGAACUUCAAAAUAUGCACGGAUAUACUUUGCGUUCAUAUGUCGCGUCAUUGUUCGUCGUAUUCACGACCAUGCUAAUCGUCCAUAAGAAAGAGACGUUUGAAGAGAUGUAUCCUGUCUGCGUUGCAGCAAGUUUACUAUUCUAUUUCUGUUAUUUUGCGAGCCUCUUGUGGCAAAAUGCGAUAUGCUUCGAUAUUUUACGGACAUUUGGAAAUGUUCGUUUUUUACGUAAAAGCGUAAAGCAAUCAAAGAGAAAAAUUUUCCUCAUGUACUCAUUGUAUGCAUGGGGAAUCGGCAGUAUUUACGUCAUCAUUUGUGCUAUAAUAAAUUUUGUUUCGACAGUGCCUUAUAAUAUCCAACUCAAUAUCUGUAUGAAUACGGCAUUCGGAUUCGCGAAUCAUGCAAAUUUUGCACAUUUUAUAAUACCCACAAGUGUUCUUAUUGUCUGCAACAUAUGUUUUUUGAUUUUUACAAUGUUAAACAUCGUACGCGCAACAAAAAUUAUCGACAGCUUUCUAAAAGACGCGGAGAACAAGCACCAAACUAAGCAAAGAUCUAUGACGUAUCUGAAGCUGUUGCUCUUUGCGGAUAUAAACUUGGGCCUAAUAAGAAUAUUUAGAUGGACUAGCGAUAUAAUGAUUGAAAUCUUUGGCAUUGUAGAAUUUGUGCCACUUUAUGUUCUGCUUAUCACAAGCACAAUAGAAUUCCUGCAAGGCUUCGUCAUUUUCAUCAUAUUCGUUUGCAAGAAAAGAAUUUGGCAAUUACUGCUGAAACGAUUCGGUUGUAAAAAGUUAUUUGUAAAACGGGAAAACGUCUGCAAGUAACAAUUGCCAUACCGCAACUUUGCAUACUUUUUCUACAACAGUGACAGAGAUCCACGCAAGUAGUCAAAAUGCAGGCUAAUUACCACGUGGGGAAUUUGUCUGAAAUAGUCGGUACUACAAUUAAAAACGUUGCAAAAAAAUAUAUAUUUUUCAUUAUUUUUUAAUAUUUCUUAAAUUAUUUUUAAGGAUUUUAAAUACUAGACAUUAUUUGUAACUUUUAUCAUAAUUCUUCAUAAAACUAAGUAAUAAAAUUCCAAGAUACGGAUGAUCAAUGCAAAUCAAUUUGUGUGAAAUAUUUCAUUGUUGAUUUUUCCAUAUACAUAAUAAUAACAUGAUAACAUGAUA
Non-coding RNA from Linepithema humile (Argentine ant), 3718 nucleotides. NCBI's taxonomy places the organism in Eukaryota, Metazoa, Arthropoda, Insecta, Hymenoptera, Formicidae. The record is from RefSeq and is a predicted model, not a curated record.